UACGGGGGGGGCAAGCGUUGUUCGGAAUUACUGGGCGUAAAGGGCGCGUAGGCGGCCUGCUAAGUCGAACGUGAAAUCCCUGGGCUCAACCCAGGAACUGCGUCCGAUACUGGUUGGCUUGAAUCCGGGAGAGGGAUGUGGAAUUCCAGGUGUAGCGGUGAAAUGCGUAGAUAUCUGGAGGAACACCGGUGGCGAAGGCGACAUCCUGGACCGGUAUUGACGCUGAGGCGCGAAAGCCAGGUGAGCAAACGGG
This 253-nucleotide ribosomal RNA is filed under the name uncultured bacterium. RNAcentral describes it as "partial 16S ribosomal RNA". It matches the Rfam family "Bacterial small subunit ribosomal RNA", at positions 524 to 776 of the family's 1533-position model. The record is from RNAcentral.